Non-coding RNA from Ictidomys tridecemlineatus (thirteen-lined ground squirrel), 4230 nucleotides. The record is from RefSeq and is a predicted model, not a curated record. NCBI's taxonomy places the organism in Eukaryota, Metazoa, Chordata, Mammalia, Rodentia, Sciuridae.
UUCUUCCCAACCCCAGUUUUCUCAGUCCAACCUAAUUCAAGUGUUCUGCAGUGACCUUGUGUUCAAAGACGUUUAGAUGAUGUGCACAACAUUCCUGUCUCAUCGGUGAUUGCUAAUCCUGAGGCAGCGCACCUACUGGCCCUCCACUACCCACUUGGCCUCACCCAGAGCAGGACUCUCAUUCCAUGCAGAUUUGCACUAGGACACCAACCCACUGGCCCAAAUCCCAGGCACCACACACACGCAUCUGUCCUGAGCUGAGCCAGAGAGAUUCUCUUGCUUGGAUAUUUUGGAGUUGGGAUAAAGAGAAGACUGGUCUGUCUUUCCAAGCUAGGAAACACAGAAUGGUCAGGGCUGGGGAGUUCUGCCUGUUUACAGGCUGUCAUGAGGUGGGAGGAAAAAUAGCCUUUUAGACACAGGAUGAAAGGGUACGGAGAGCACGAGUUCGGGAGAUAGAGCCUGGGACUUCCAGGUUCUGUUAGCUUUCAAUUCCUGGCUCCAUCCCAGCUGUCCUUUGUGUGUUGGUUUCUAUGUGAUGUUCCCUUAAACUUGAAUAAAUUUUCUGAUUUUGCUCAUGGUAAUUUGGAGUAGUUUCCUGUUCAUUUAUAACCAAAUGAACUUGGAAUAAGGUGCAACCAGGAAAUGAAGCUGCACUUGACCACAUAGCUGACCCAUUUCAGGGGUGGGGACACUUGGAUUCCAUGAUGCUGGAACAGAAAGCUGGCCAUCGGUGACCAUCAGACUGAAAUCACUAGUGAAAUGAGUGUUGGAUGGGUUUUGGAUCUUGGAGAAUUUUUCUAAUGAGACUGAGGCAUUAGGGGCUCAGAAGGUCAGGAUGAAGGAUGUCAGGUUGUGCUGGAGACCCCCUGGGGCUUCAGCAAGGUGCCCGGGGAAGUGUCAAGUUUGAGACUGUCACUGCAAAAGGAUAUCGACAAUCAGGUCAGUUAUGCAACCCUGCUCCUGAAGGCCUCUCUGCUCAUGGUAUAGGAUCGGAGACCACAGAGAGUCCAUCCUAGAAGGUAAUCACAGGACUGACUGAGCUGCAGCUGUUACACUCUGCAGCAACCUACAUCCAGAACUAAAAUUGGCACGCCAAUUAUGAAACAGGGAGGUUCUGGCAAUUGGAACAAGGACACCCAGGAAGGGCUGGGGGAACUGGGGAACCCUGAUCCUUCCCAUGUGCUUCCGACGCCUUCUGUGGUGUCCUCCCGCAAGACCAGGGUGGGAUGCCUCUCGCCAUGGACUGUACUUUAGGACCUGGUUUGGGAAGCUCACAGAGCCAACCCGGCAGAGGCAGAAUUUCUUUGCUGGUGUCCUCCACACCCGAAGGCAAAAUUCAUUAGGCAGGGAACUCGGGCACAGCCCUCCAGCUUCCUUCUAAGAACUGAAGCCCACAGGCACAGCCCAGCUCUGGCUGUCCUGCUUAGCAAGCUGUCUGGAGACGGCUUUGAGCAAACGCAGACUCCCUAAAUUAAAUCGACGGGCUGCCAGUUAAGAUUUUACAGGUUUUUUUGUUGCCAAGAAAACCGUAGCCUGGACAACAGGGUCUUUAGAUGGACACAACUGCACUGCUAGGCAUUUUGGGCCUUUGGGAGAGCACAGGCCCAGUCCUGGAGGCUGCCAGCUCCCUGCAGAAGGAGUCAGGAAACCACAGCCAGUUAAUUCUGCCCCAAAGUUGCCCCAGGGUGGCUGUGAAGGACCCUGGAGAAGGGCAAUAUCUUUAUGGACAGAAGAUGGACUGGCACCACUGGCUACCAAGGGACCCGCUCCAGGUGCCAGCAGGGGUCAACAUGCAGACGGCCAUGAGCUUUGUCAGGUGUCCUGCCAGAGCUAAUGUGCACCUCAAGUUGGUGACCAACGCGUGGCUGUGGGCCUGGAGUUGCCUCUUUUGUUUUUAAGUGGGAAGGCGAUAUGGCUGUGUCCAGCCUUCCUCCUAGGGUUCCCAGCAGGUGGGACUCAGGGUGGGUGGUUGCAUUUCCUCUACAGGCUGGAUGAGUUUCUCCUGGAGGAGAAAGGGGCCUUGCCUGGGACCCAAGCCUCACCUCUGUGUGCAACAGGAGCCGAGGAGGAGCAGGUGUCGGCAGGUAGAAAUGCACAUGGGCCCUUCUGCCGUGGACCUUGGUAUGGAAACCUGGCCCAUGCAGGGCUGGAAGAUUUUAUUUUUCUGGGAAUUUUGAAUCGGAUCUAGGAGACAGCAAAUGGAUUUCUCUGUGUGGCCUGACUACAAAGAUGCCAGUGCCUCUACUUAGCAGUGGCAGCCAUGGGCACAAACAGCAGAAAGGUGGUCUGCAGAGAAGCAGGCGUCUCUGCCAAGCGGGCCGGGGUGGGCUGGGGGGCGAGAGAGAUGCAGAGCUGCUUCGUGAUUGCUUGCCUGACUCAUUUCUGGGGUGGAACCAUCUUUGGGUUCCAUGAAAUAGUCUCGACUCCUUUUUUUACUUUUUCUUUUUUGGUAACUGUCUAUAUUGAAAUCAUCAUAGAUUCAGAAGGACUUGCAAAGAUAGUACAGAGAGGCCCCAUGUUCCCUACUCUCAGUUUCCCCCAGGGUUGCAAUUUAGGUAACUGCAGUACCAUGUCAGGACUAGGAGCCCACAGUGGUAGAGUGCGUCCUGGGCCAUUUCAGGCCCCACAUUGAUUUGUGUAGACGCCGCCACCCUCAAGAUGCAAAACUGCUCCGUCCCAGGAGGAUUCCUUUAUCUGAUACCUCUUUAGUCUCCCUCUGCCCCCAUUCCUAAGCCCUGAUAAUUACCAAUCUGUUUCUCACCUCUGUCAUCUCGUCUUUUUGUGACUGUUCUAUCCAUGGAAUCAAAUAGCUUGUAACCCUUUGAGACAGGCCGUCCUCCCCCCACCCCCCGCAUAACUCCCAAAGAUCAUUCAAGUCACUGCAGCAGGAGUCUAUUCCUUUUUAAGGCCCAUCGGUAAGUAUCCGUGGUGUGGAUCUACUGUUUGUGUAGCCGUUCACCUCUUGAGGGCCUUCUGGAUUAUUUCCUGUUUGGGGCUAUUAUGAAUAAAACUGCUCUAACAUUUGUACACAGAUUUUUGUGUGGAUAUGAGUUUUCAUUUCCCCGGGAACAAUGCUGAGGAGAGCAAUUGCCUGGUCCCCUGGUGUUGUGGUUUGGAUCUGAGAUGUCCUCCAAAGCUUCCUGUGUGGAAGGCUUGGUCCCCAGCUGGUGGCAUUAUUGGAAGCUGCUGCAGGGAGGUAAGCAGCUCUGCUCCACCCUGGCCCUGCGCCAUGAUGAUCCACUUCACCACAUGCCCGGAGACAAUGGGGCCAGCCAACCAUGGAUGGAAUCCUUUUGAAACCAUGAGCCAAAGUAAACCUUUCAUUCUUUUAAGUUAUCUCAGGUAUUUUGUCACUGCAGUGAAAAGCUGACAAACACAUCUGGUAAGUGUGUGUUAAUCUGCCAAACUGUUUUCUGGAGUACCAUUUUCCACUCCCUCCAGCAACAUCUCACUGAUCUAGUUUCUCUGCACACUCACUAGCAUUUGGUGUUGCAACUACUUUUAUUUUACUCUUUUAAUAAGUAUGUUGUGAUUGCUCCCAGAGACUUACACUUGUAUUUCCCUUACUGGCGUGUUGUUGAAUACCUUCUCAUGUGUGUAUAUGCUAUCUGUAUAUUCUCAUUGAUAAAACCUCUCUUCAUAUCCACUGUCCAUUUUCUAAUAGGAUUGUGUAUUUUUAAAUGUUUUACUGUUAAAUUUUAAUAUAAACUUUUCUUAAAAAAACAAAUUUGAAAUGGGCUUCUGCUACUUGCACGACUGAGACUUAUGGGUAGUCUGUGUUGUACUUAAUGACAAUCACAGUAAUGGCUGACAUUUAUUAAGCCUGUAGUUGUGCCAGGCACUGUUCUCUAGUGACAUCCAGGUCUUAGCUUACUUGAUAAAUGUUUUGUUUUUCUAAGCAGAGUAUAUUUUGUUAUAAACAUUAUCUGCCAAUGCAAUUUAGUUUACAAAUCUAAUCGUUGGCAUAAACAAACAGCACGGACAAUACACAUUGCUUAAAUUCUAAUUGACUGCAUUUAUUUGUGUCUCAAUUUACUGAGAGAAAUGUAAGCCACUGGCGUCGCAGGGGCUUCUGAGUCAGUGAAAUAAGCAUUCAUGUUUCAAAAAGUGACGUCAUGUGUACAUGUUUUUCCUUAGUGUUAAGUAAAUUCCUGAGAAUUGUCAGUUCAACUAAUUCUACAUAAAUCCCCCAAACCUUUGUCUCCUCCUAAAGUAAAGGCAGAAAAUAAA